Molecule: ribosomal RNA, 913 nt
Filed under: uncultured marine archaeon
Lineage: Archaea
Description: bacterial SSU rRNA
Rfam family: Archaeal small subunit ribosomal RNA
Source: RNAcentral
UUCCGGUUGAUCCUGCCGGAGGCUACCGCUAUUGGAGUUCGAUUAAGCCAUGCGAGUCGCGAGUCUUAGGGACUCGGCGUACCGCUCAGUAACACGUGGGUAACCUGCCCUAUGCUGGGGGAUAACCUCGGGAAACUGAGAAUAAUACCCCAUAGUUCACCACGCCUGGAACGGUGGGUGGAUGAAAGCUCCGGCGGCAUAGGAUGGGCCUGCGGCGUAUCAGGUUGUAGGGGGUGUAAUGUACCCUCUAGCCAUCUACGCGUACGGGUGUUGGGAGACAUCGCCCGGAGAUGGAUUCUGAGACACGAAUCCAGACCCUACGGGGUGCAGCAGGCGCGAAAACUUCGCAAUGCGGGAAACCGUGACGAGGGAACUCCAAGUGUCUAUGCAUUGCAUAGACUGUUUUUUAGCCUAAAUAGCUAUUAGAGUAAGGGGUGGGCAAGACCGGUGCCAGCCGCCGCGGUAACACCGGCACCUCGAGUGGUAGCCACUAUUAUUGGGCCUAAAGCGUUCGUAGCCGGUUUGGUAAAUUCUUGGGUAAAUCGUACCGCUUAACGGUGCGGAUUCCGGGGACACUACCAGACUUGAGACCGGGGGAGAUCAGAGGUACUUGCGGGGGAGCGGUGAAAUGUUGUAAUCCCGCAGGGACCACCAGUGGCGAAGGCGUCUGAUCAGAACGGCUCUGACGGUGAGGAACGAAACCCUGGGGCGCAAACGGGAUUAGAUACCCCGGUAGUCCAGGGCGUAAACGCUGCUGACUUGGUGUUGGGGAUCCUACGAGGAUGUCCAGUGCUGGCGCGAAGGUAUUAAGUCAGCCGCCUGGGGAGUACGGUCGCAAGACUGAAACUUAAAGGAAUUGGCGGGGGAGCACUGCAACGUGUGGAGCGUGCGGUUUAAUUGGAUUCAACGCCGG